RNAcentral lists this ribosomal RNA (402 nucleotides) under uncultured bacterium. RNAcentral describes it as "bacterial SSU rRNA". It matches the Rfam family "Bacterial small subunit ribosomal RNA", at positions 32 to 409 of the family's 1533-position model. The record is from RNAcentral.
AAUCAACGCUGGCGGCGUGCCUCAGACAUGCAAGUCGAACGCGAAAGUUCCCUUCGGGGGGAUGAGUAGAGUGGCGCACGGGUGAGUAACACGUAGGUAAUCUACCUUUGGAUGGGGAAUAACAGCCGGAAACGGCUGCUAAUACCGCAUAAUGCAGCGGCUCGACAUCGAGACAGUUGUUAAAGCGGGGGAUCGCAAGACCUCGCGCCUAAAGAGAAGCCUGCGGCAGAUUAGCUAGUUGGUAGGGUAAUGGCCUACCAAGGCGACGAUCUGUAACCGGCCUGGAGAGGGCGGUCGGUCACACUGACACUGACAUACGGGUCAGACUCCUACGGGAGGCAGCAGUCGGGUAAUUUUGGGCAAGUGGGCGAAAGCCUGACCCAGCAACGCCGCGUGAAGGAU